GAGUUUGAUCCUGGCUCAGAGUGAACGCUGGCGGCAGGCCUAACACAUGCAAGUCGAACGGCAGCACAGGGAGCUUGCUCCUGGGUGGCGAGUGGCGGACGGGUGAGGAAUACAUCGGAAUCUGCCCUGUCGUGGGGGAUAACGUAGGGAAACUUACGCUAAUACCGCAUACGACCUUCGGGUGAAGAGGGGGAGUACGCAAGACCUCUCGCGAUUGGAUGAGCCGAUGUCGGAUUAGCUAGUUGGCGGGGUAAAGGCCCGACCAAGGCGACGAUCCGUAGCUGGUCUGAGAGGAUGAUCAGCCACACUGGAACUGAGACACGGUCCAGACUCCUACGGGAGGCAGCAGUGGGGAAUAUUGGACAAUGGGCGCAAGCCUGAUCCAGCCAUGCCGCGUGAGUGAAGAAGGCCUUCGGGUUGUAAAG
RNAcentral lists this ribosomal RNA (425 nucleotides) under uncultured Gammaproteobacteria bacterium. RNAcentral's name for it is "bacterial SSU rRNA". It matches the Rfam family "Bacterial small subunit ribosomal RNA", at positions 9 to 430 of the family's 1533-position model. Lineage: Bacteria; Pseudomonadati; Pseudomonadota; Gammaproteobacteria. The record is from RNAcentral.